CACAUAUAAACUUGCAGCCAUGCUUCUCUCCUCCUCAUUCAAGCUGCUGUUUGCUGCUCAAAGCGGAGGGCCCUCUCUGGCUUGGAUUCUUUCUUUCAUUCUGUGCUCUGCUUCAUUCCUUUUCUCGACUUGUUUUUACUUCAGGAACCGCACUGGGACCAUCUACAAGGACCCCGAGGCUUCUUUUCUCUACACACCUUGGCAGUGGGCUACAAACAAGAUAUAAAUGGAAAGACUCGCUUUUUUUCCACACACACACAUAUAUAUAUAUUAAGUACUGCUAUGGAACAGAAACAAAGAGGUGCUUUUGAGGGUGUGCAGAAGAAGGAUAAUGGCGCGUGCAACAUUAAAAGCCGCGCACACUUCACCUCCACCAAGAGAAGAAACUUUGUGGCCGGAGCCUGGUGGGUCGCGUCGGAUGAGACUCCACCGACAGCAUGGUAGGUGCAGCACAAUAGGCCUCAUUCAAAGGCAGCGCUGCAUGUGACGGUGCUGCAAACGCUGAUGGAUAAUAAAGAGAGAGGGAGGAAGAGAGCGGGCAGCGGAUCGGCUGCAGUGACAGCUGCAUCAUGGAGAUCAGGAGGGAGGCAUCGCCCCCGGGCACGACAGCACCUACAUCCUCAGAGGAAGCUGUGAGACUCUUCUGCGUCCGACGCAGCCAUCUUCUGAAACCGGCCGUGCUGUCUUCAUCAGGACUCACACCGCCACCAGUGACGGUCCAGUACAAGAAAAUUGUAACCUGCUCCCGCUGGUGGUUGUGUUUCUCAGAACUCGCCUUCAGCUGGGAUUCCAAGUCGUGCUCUGCUGGGUGUUCAGCUAGCAUGGCUCUGAUACAAACAUCUGGUGUCUGCACCAAUCCCAGCUGAUCCUGGAUCUGCACUGACCUCAUUUUAUCCCGCAUUGUUAGUUCCUCUUUAAUCAGCUGAUCAGUUUCCUCAGACGAUCAAUCGUCUAUGUAAGCAAGAGACUUGUCUUCAUCACUGACUCAAACACUGAGCACGGAGUUAAAUCAGAAAGUCACAUUUCUUUUCAUUGAUGUUUUAAAAAUUAGACAUAAAAAUAAUAUUUGUUUCAAGGCUUACCCUUAUUCUUUUUUUUCGCCGACACAAGGAGAAGGUGAUCUUAUUAAAACUGAAGCAAAUAAUAACGAGAUGAAAAAAAAUAACACAAAUUAAAUGCACACGCAGUGCCAAAUAAUGAUAUUACAUUAUAAUUAUAUUUGCUUCUGCACAUUUAUCAUAUCUCUGAACAUAAAAAAACUAAAUCUUCACGAUUGCCUGCUGACGUUGUUAGCCUUUUUGUGAGCUUAGUUCAUUUGAAAAAACAAUAAAUUCAGAGCAUGAGCAACAUAUUUUAUGUCAGCUGUCUUUUUGUCUAAUGAUAUGAAAAUACACAAACAAUCACAGCUAAAACAUGGUUUGAUAGGAGAGCAGAGGACUUUUGUAGGCAAGCGAGAGUUGAGGGUGGGCAGUUCAACAAUUGACAAAUAAGGAACCGCUUUUGAAUUCAAAAUGUACGCCCUAAAUGUGAACAAAAUAUUCCACCGAUGAUUUCACAGAUAAUAGUGCAGCGGUCUGGUGAAGCAACCCAAACUGAAUAAUACUCGGGUGCUUACAUUCAAAAUCAUAGCUCUAUGUUUGUAUUUGUGUGCAGAUUGAUCAGAGGAGGACCGCACUAAUGCAAGAAAUUAUUUAAUUUUACCGCCUAGGGUGGACCUGUCACUGCCUCUAAAAACAAUUUGCCCAAGGUUGAAGAACUAUGAGUCACAAAAGGUACAAAUCAAAAGAGCUGAAAAUAAGCACUAUCUCUGGCUUCAGAUAUCCAUAAAUCUCAUUAACCUUAAGGCCAGUUUUCUUUUUUCAGACCAAAAACAUUUAAUGCUUGUCUUUCUCACAUUAAAAGGCAGAGCUCACGCUGCACACGCCUUGCAUUUUUAAUUCCUCAUGAUCACCCAGCGUGUGUCUGCCUGUACCUGAUACUGCAGGCUGUGGUUUGUGGGCCCGCUCUCCCUUCUCCUCUCGGCCUGACACAGGAUGCAGCAGUGGUCAACGUUUGUUUGCUUAAAGCUGCAGAACCGCAAGGUCAAAUUUCAGAGACGGCAGGGAAAAGGCUGGACACCAAGACACAGAAGAAGGGGAAGAAAACUGAGAAGGGAAGACGCCCCCACACGACACCUUUUCUCAGCAUCCCUCAGAGCCAGAGAUAUACACCGCGCGCACGCACGCACACACAAACUCACACACCUUUGUUUACUAAACUUUCCGCCUUUGAAAUAUUUAUUAGCGCUGGGAGUCUCUGUGCGCCUGUGUGUUUGUGUGUCCGUGUGUGUUGGUGUAUAUGUGUGUGUGUAAAGCAGCGGGAGGUUGCCAUCUAUCAGGGGAAACGGUGAUAACGGCGUGUGAGACUGGAGGGAACAAGAGAUUGUGUCAUACGCAUAUGACAUACAGUGAAAAAAUGAGCAUCAGCUCACAGACACCAGAUUCACAAAACUGUCCUCAGUGACGAGAUGAACAAGGAGGCCCCAAAGGUUACUGACCCACUUAAAGAGAACAUUUUCUCAGUGCUAUUUAUUUAACUCCUUAUUUGAUUUAGAUCAGGGCUCACCCAGGGACCAUGUGUGGUGCCCACGAGCCUGUUCUAAAAACAGCACAACACGGCAGUGAGCU
Molecule: long non-coding RNA, 2666 nt
Organism: Fundulus heteroclitus (mummichog)
Lineage: Eukaryota; Metazoa; Chordata; Actinopteri; Cyprinodontiformes; Fundulidae
Exons: 3
Source: RefSeq, a predicted model, not a curated record